CAUCUUCUGAUCACAACAGACCCCAAGCCUCGUCUCCGAUGGACUCUCGAGCUUCAUGAACGAUUUGUCGAUGCUGUCACCCUGCUUGGAGGACCAGACAGUAAUUAGUCAUCAACUCUUCUUCUCACUAUAUAUAUAUAUGCUCAAGAAUUCAUCACGCAUGCAUGGAGUAUUAUAUAUAUAUAAUAAUCUUGUGUCACUGACUGUUAACUGACAAUCUGCCUGAAUCCUCACCUUGUUUCUCCUGCUUUCUUUUCCAUGUCUGAACCCAAUCUAGAGGCCACACCUAAGGCCAUUAUGAGAAUUAUGGGAGUUAAGGGUCUGACCCUUUAUCACUUGAAGAGCCACCUUCAGG
RNAcentral lists this long non-coding RNA (355 nucleotides) under Populus trichocarpa (black cottonwood). Its description in RNAcentral is "long non-coding RNA (PTRI_LNC002653)". The record is from RNAcentral. Lineage: Eukaryota; Viridiplantae; Streptophyta; Magnoliopsida; Malpighiales; Salicaceae.